Long non-coding RNA from Camelina sativa (false flax), 331 nucleotides. RefSeq lists it as uncharacterized. Lineage: Eukaryota; Viridiplantae; Streptophyta; Magnoliopsida; Brassicales; Brassicaceae. The record is from RefSeq and is a predicted model, not a curated record.
UCCAUGCCCCCAAAAAUAAAGUGCACAACUUCUCUAUUAUUUGAAUUUCCAGGAUAAGACGAACCAAUUGGCAACCAUGCUCAGCGCUACAAUGCUUCUGAAAUACGGACUUGGAGAAGAAAAGGCAAUAAAGAGGAUUGAAGUUGCAGUGUUGGUUGCUCUGAAAAACGGUUUCAGAACUGGAGACGUUUACUAUGUGGGAACAGAUGAUUGUAUGUCGAAUGCUUUUUACUUUAGAUGUUCAGUGGAUCUAGUACAGCCUUGUGCUGCUGGUCCGAUAGAGCAAGCUACUUGCCCAUUUUGUCUUGGUAAAGUCUUAACCUUUAAAUUA